GGACUACACGGGUAUCUAAUCCCGUUUGCUCCCCUGGCCUUCGUGCCUCAGCGUCAGUUACCGUCCAGAAACUCGCCUUCGCCACUGGUCUUCCUUACGAUCUCUACGCAUUUCACUGCUACACCGUAAAUUCCAGUUUCCUCUCCGGUACUCUAGUCCGCCAGUAUUCAAUGCCAUUCCAGGGUUGAGCCCCGGGAUUUCACAUCAAACUUAGCAGACCGCCUACGCACCCUUUACGCCCAAUGAAUCCGAACAACGCUCGGGACCUCUGUAUUACCGCGGCUGCUGGCAC
This 292-nucleotide ribosomal RNA is filed under the name uncultured Verrucomicrobiota bacterium. RNAcentral's name for it is "uncultured Verrucomicrobia bacterium partial 16S ribosomal RNA". Lineage: Bacteria; Pseudomonadati; Verrucomicrobiota. The record is from RNAcentral.